Molecule: ribosomal RNA, 468 nt
Filed under: uncultured bacterium
Lineage: Bacteria
Description: partial 16S ribosomal RNA
Rfam family: Bacterial small subunit ribosomal RNA
Source: RNAcentral
GACGAACGCUGGCGGCGUGCUUAACACAUGCAAGUCGAACGGAAAGGCCCUGCUAUUGUGCUGUUCUCGAGUGCGGAACGGGUGAGUAACACGUGAGUAACCUGCCCUAGUCUUUCGGAUAACUUAAGGAAACUGGGCCUAAUACCGGAUAGGAUCUGCUGCUCCGUGGAGGGCGUUGGAUAUUUUCGGCGUGUGGGGAUGGACUCGCGGCUUAUCAGCUUGUUGGUGGGGUAGCUGCUUACCCAGGCUUUGACGGGUAGCCGGCCUGUGAGGGUGACCGGCCACAUUGGGACUGAGAGACGGACCAGACGCCAACGGGAGGCAGCAGGGGGGAAUAUGGCACAACGGGCGGAAGUCGGAUGCAGCAGCGUUGCGUUCGGGAUGACGGUCUGUGGGUUAUAAACCGCUUUCGCCUGAGACGAAGCGUGAGUGACGGUAACGAAAAAAGAAGCACCGGCUAACUACGUG